This 414-nucleotide ribosomal RNA is filed under the name uncultured microorganism. RNAcentral's name for it is "bacterial SSU rRNA". It matches the Rfam family "Bacterial small subunit ribosomal RNA", at positions 9 to 419 of the family's 1533-position model. The record is from RNAcentral.
GAGUUUGAUCAUGGCUCAGAUUGAACGCUGGCGGCAUGCCUUACACAUGCAAGUCGAACGGCAGCAUGAUCUAGCUUGCUAGAUUGAUGGCGAGUGGCGAACGGGUGAGUAAUACAUCGGAACGUGCCCUGUAGUGGGGGAUAACUAGUCGAAAGAUUAGCUAAUACCGCAUACGACCUGAGGGUGAAAGUGGGGGACCGCAAGGCCUCAUGCUAUAGGAGCGGCCGAUGUCUGAUUAGCUAGUUGGUGGGGUAAAGGCCCACCAAGGCGACGAUCAGUAGCUGGUCUGAGAGGACGAUCAGCCACACUGGGACUGAGACACGGCCCAGACUCCUACGGGAGGCAGCAGUGGGGAAUUUUGGACAAUGGGCGAAAGCCUGAUCCAGCAAUGCCGCGUGUGUGAAGAAGGCCUUC